GUAGGUGGCAAGCGUUGUCCGGAAUUAUUGGGCGUAAAGCGCGCGCAGGCGGUUCUUUAAGUCUGAUGUGAAAGCCCACGGCUCAACCGUGGAGGGUCAUUGGAAACUGGAGAACUUGAGUACAGAAGAGGAAAGCGGAAUUCCACGUGUAGCGGUGAAAUGCGUAGAGAUGUGGAGGAACACCAGUGGCGAAGGCGGCUUUCUGGUCUGUAACUGACGCUGAGGCGCGAAAGCGUGGGGAGCAAACAGGGAUUAGAUACCCUGGUAGUCCACGCCGUAAACGAUGAGUGCUAAGUGUUAGGGGGGUUUCCGCCCCCUUAGUGCUGCAGCUAACGCAUUAAGCACUCCGCCUGGGGAUACGGCCGCAAGGCCG
Molecule: ribosomal RNA, 373 nt
Filed under: uncultured organism
Description: partial 16S ribosomal RNA
Rfam family: Bacterial small subunit ribosomal RNA
Source: RNAcentral